UAAUACGGAAGGUCCGGGCGUUAUCCGGAUUUAUUGGGUUUAAAGGGAGCGUAGGCCGGAGAUUAAGCGUGUUGUGAAAUGUAGAUGCUCAACAUCUGCACUGCAGCGCGAACUGGUUUCCUUGAGUACGCACAAAGUGGGCGGAAUUCGUGGUGUAGCGGUGAAAUGCUUAGAUAUCACGAAGAACUCCGAUUGCGAAGGCAGCUCACUGGAGCGCAACUGACGCUGAAGCUCGAAAGUGCGGGUAUCGAACAGGAUUAGAUACCCUGGUAGUCCGCACGGUAAACGAUGGAUGCCCGCUGUUGGUCUGAAUAGGUCAGCGGCCAAGCGAAAGCAUUAAGCAUCCCACCUGGGGAGUACGCCGGCAACGGUGAA
RNAcentral lists this ribosomal RNA (375 nucleotides) under uncultured bacterium. RNAcentral describes it as "bacterial SSU rRNA". It matches the Rfam family "Bacterial small subunit ribosomal RNA", at positions 521 to 898 of the family's 1533-position model. The record is from RNAcentral.